This 63-nucleotide transfer RNA is filed under the name Lissorhoptrus oryzophilus (rice water weevil). RNAcentral's name for it is "tRNA-Arg". The record is from RNAcentral. Lineage: Eukaryota; Metazoa; Arthropoda; Insecta; Coleoptera; Erirhinidae.
AAAUAAGAAGCAAAUCUUGCAUUUAGUUUCGACCUAAAAAUAUGGUAUAAAUACCCUUAUUUA